Molecule: ribosomal RNA, 460 nt
Filed under: uncultured bacterium
Lineage: Bacteria
Description: partial 16S ribosomal RNA
Rfam family: Bacterial small subunit ribosomal RNA
Source: RNAcentral
CCUACGGGAGGCAGCAGUGAGGAAUAUUGGUCAAUGGGCGCGAGCCUGAACCAGCCAAGUAGCGUGAAGGAUGACUGCCCUACGGGUUGUAAACUUCUUUUAUAAAGGAAUAAAGUGAGGCACGUGUGCCUUUUUGUAUGUACCUUAUGAAUAAGGAUCGGCUAACUCCGUGCCAGCAGCCGCGGUAAUACGGAGGAUCCGAGCGUUAUCCGGGUUUAUUGGGUUUAAAGGGAGCGUAGAUGGGUUGUUAAGUCAGUUGUGAAAGUUUGCGGCUCAACCGUAAAAUUGCAGUUGAAAGUGGUAGUCUUGAGUAGAGGAGAGGUGGGCGGAAUGCGUGGUGUAGCGGUGAAAUGCUUAGAGAUCACGAAGAACUCCGAUUGCGAAGGCAGUAUACUGGACUGCAACUGACACUGAGGCACGAAAGUGUGGGUAUAAAACAGGAUUAGAUACCCGAGUAGUC